RNAcentral lists this ribosomal RNA (262 nucleotides) under uncultured bacterium. RNAcentral's name for it is "partial 16S ribosomal RNA". It matches the Rfam family "Bacterial small subunit ribosomal RNA", at positions 92 to 353 of the family's 1533-position model. The record is from RNAcentral.
CGACCGGCGCACGGGUGAGUAACACGUAUCCAACCUGCCGAUAACUCGGGGAUAGCCUUUCGAAAGAAAGAUUAAUACCCGAUGGCAUAAUAGAACCGCAUGGUUUGAUUAUUAAAGAAUUUCGGUUAUCGAUGGGGAUGCGUUCCAUUAGGCAGUAGGUGGGGUAACGGCUCACCUAGGCGACGAUCCCUAGCUGGUCUGAGAGGAUGACCAGCCACACUGGAACUGAGACACGGUCCAGACUCCUACGGGAGGCAGCAUG